UGGGGGAUCGUCUAGUGGUAGGACGACAGACUCUGGAUCUGUCUACCUAGGUUCGAAUCCUAGUCCCCCAGCCA
RNAcentral lists this transfer RNA (74 nucleotides) under Nitrospirota bacterium. RNAcentral describes it as "Nitrospirae bacterium tRNA-Gln". It matches the Rfam family "tRNA". From Rfam's summary of the family: Transfer RNA (tRNA) molecules are approximately 80 nucleotides in length. Their secondary structure includes four short double-helical elements and three loops (D, anti-codon, and T loops). Lineage: Bacteria; Pseudomonadati; Nitrospirota. The record is from RNAcentral. RNAcentral also lists the same sequence under 2 other names.